CUCCAUCAUUGAAAGCUAGCCUGGGCAACACACUGGAACAACUUCCCAGCCAUGGAAGAGGAUGCUCUUGUUUAUCGGCGACACUGUCACCCUUUAACUGUUAUCAGAUUCUGACUUGGCACAGACAACAUUC
Acomys russatus (golden spiny mouse) is the source of this 133-nucleotide small nucleolar RNA. RefSeq annotates it as small nucleolar RNA SNORA24. The record is from RefSeq and is a predicted model, not a curated record. NCBI's taxonomy places the organism in Eukaryota, Metazoa, Chordata, Mammalia, Rodentia, Muridae. The transcript has a single exon.